Long non-coding RNA from Patiria miniata (bat star), 3221 nucleotides. RefSeq lists it as uncharacterized. The record is from RefSeq and is a predicted model, not a curated record. Lineage: Eukaryota; Metazoa; Echinodermata; Asteroidea; Valvatida; Asterinidae. The transcript is spliced from 3 exons.
UGCGCGCGCAUGUACAAAAUUGUGACAAAAAUGGUGGAUAAUUUUUUGUGCACACUUUCAGCUCGCAAUGUUGAAUUUGAGAUGGAAAUGAAGCUUUAGUAUCUGUGAAUUUUCGGAACCUAACCUGGAACUUCAAAAGAAUGAAAGAAGUGAGAACUUUGGGUCAGCGGUAGAGCUACUGGCCGGAAGCUUGAGGCAUCAUUUUAGCAGCAGACCCAGGUCACUUCCCCAGCCUGUACAUGCUGGGUCUGUGUGGUCUGGGAGCUCUGGUGGUCAGAGGACUGAGAAGACUGAGAGGAGCUGGCUGCACCAUCAAUGAUAUGUGGGACAGGGACUUCAACUCAUAGCAGUACGAUUUUGUGACCCAGCACCACCCUGGCAGCUGAAACCAGCAUGAUGUUGUCCUCAAGAAAACCAUGGAUGUCAGCACAGCACGCGACACGUACCCGGUGAACUCCAAGCUACAGACAUGACAGAAAUCUAGACUGGAUCUGAUGAGCUACCAAUAGUUCCUGUCACAGGAUAUCAGAGAACCCUCAGCAUUCACUGCGAUUGUUUCCUGUAAUUCAACCAGUCUGAGGCGAACUGGAUUUCUCUCUUGCCCGGAUGUUGUGGGAUGCCACUCAGCGACACUGACAUCACUUCUAAGAUGCUCUCCUGAAUAUGUUGGAUCUGCAUUGACUGUGUGAGAUUCAUGAGCUACACAACCACCACUGAGAAGGACUUGCAACAGAACAAGUGGACUUCCUUCAAAACAAUUACCCAGAGAUCUUCACUUUCAAGCUCAGUGUGCCACAAGAUGUUUUAACUUAUAGCUAGUCGUCAAAAACUGCCUAGAGAGUUGUGUUUGCUCAAUUUGAACAAUUACGUGACUCGAAGGAUAAUCUGUACUUGAGCCAUGCGCCUGCACGAGUCUCACCAGACAUUUGGAGAACUGCAAUAACACAUGCACUAGACAGCAUGAGGUUACCGUCGGACCCGUCUCAAGAUCGUAUCUCGGCCAGGAACUGACUGCUAGAGGAGUUCAUGAUAAGCUGGCCUCUGCCAGCCGCAAAAACACUGGAUGAUUCACAUUGACUGUUGCUGUCUGCCAGAGAGUUAUGACUGAGGAACUCUUUCGAAAUGGAACUCUUUUGAAAUUUACUUCUGUUGAAAUGGAACCCUCUCGAAACUGAACUCUUUGAAAUGGAACUUUGUUGAAACGGAUCUCGUUGGAAACAGAACUCUUUUGAACCAGAACUCUUUUGAGAUGGAACUCUUUUUAAAUUAAACUCUUUGAAAUGGAACUCUGUUGAAACGGAACUCUUUUGAAACAGAUCUUGUUGGAAACAGAACUCUUUGGAACCUGAACUAUUUUAAGAUGGAACUCUGUUGAAACAGAACCCUUUUGAACCGGAACUCUUUUGAACCGGAACUCUUAUGAACUGGAACUCUUUUGAGAUGGACCUCUUUUUGUAAUUGAACUCUUUGAAAUGGAACCUUCUUGAAAUGGAACUCUUUGAAAGGAUAAUGUAUAUUAAAGAAGUAGAGGUCUCUCUUUCCUUGUCACUAAAGGUCAUCAGAGGUCACCUCUUUGACCCCAUAUGUGUAGAAAAGGUUGCCUUGGCCGACCACAAUUUGACAGACAUCUAGAAUCUUGAAAGGCAGUUGCCAUAAUCUUCACUCACAGUGUUUGAUGAUGGAAAAGUGAUGUAGUCAUCACCUAGUGAUAAAGUUUGGGACGAGAACUGCAAAGUUUUCUAUAUCAAGAAAAUUGUCCAGAAACCUUCAAAACAUGCUAUCUUACUAUGUUGACCCACAAUUGAUGGCAGUAGUAGUUGAGAUCAAACCAAACCAUAAAUCGUGAAUAUGGAAGAGAGGCCUCUACACACCUCACCACAGUGACCACACGUAACCAGCUUCUCUCUGCAAACUCAAAGCAUAUUUCAUAGAAUUGAUUUGUCUUUGAUUUUUAUUCAGUGCAUCCACUAAUUUUCUUGUAUCAAAGUAUCACAAAAAAACUUUCAACAAGCAGUGAAAAUGAGGAAAGAUGUAGCGCUGCAUUUUAUAGUUCUUAUUUCCCGCUCUGCCAGUUGCAAAAUAAACUGAAAUUUAGCCAAAUUCACUAAAUAUUCACUAAAGCUGAGGGCUGCGCAAGUAUUGAAGAAAAAAAUUCUCUCAGAAAAAUCUUGAUGAUACAACUUCCUUUGGCAUAUAUAUAGAGAGAGCUGGUUACAUCAAAUUAAUUGAUAAUUGAAUCUGAAAUAUUUUUUUUAUGGCAUUGCCUGAUUGGUAAUAGUUGGGUGCAAGAUUGGUUUUCCUAGAACAAAAUUCUUUAAACUUUGUGUCGACACACAACGCUAAUGCAGUUAUUUGAACGUCAUUGCCAAUUUUAAUCAUUGCUUGGUUCAGUUUAAAUUCAAAAUAAUUGGAGAUGUCCAAAAAUCCAAAUUUCUUACUCAAGCACUCAUGCAGGAAAACCCAGAUAUUCGUGUAAAUGCGCAGUUUUGCAAACAGCUUUCAUAAUGAGCCAUUCAACUUUUUGUUUAUACUUUCAAAAUUUCUUUCAACUCUUCAGAAAUGGCUUUUCAAAAAUUUUAGAUGCACUUUCCAGUUCAUCAUAACUUAGCUGCGUACUAUCAACAGCCAUACCAAUCUUGUACCCAGCUUUUGUUUUAUCAAGUAUAGUCAGCACUGGUCCACUGUUUAACAGACAAAAUUUGUCUGUGAAUGAAAAAAGUGAUUGCAUGUUGGUUUUAGUUCCACUUGUUCGAAAAAAAAUUGCCAAACCCAAAAUAUUCCAUUUCAAGUGAAAACACUGCUAAAAAUGCCUGCAAAAUUUGUUCUUAUUCGACAGUUUACCAGGUGUUUUUGUGGACACACCUUUGUUUAAUUACCUCCAGAAAUGUAGGCUUUCUUGUCCAUUGGUCAAGCGAUGUUUUUCUAAAAUCCCAUUUGAAAAAGAAAAGUAAACAGUAUUAAACUGUUGAUUACUUACAAACACCAAUUACCAAUAUUUUUUAGCGCAAAAAGGAACAAAAGAAUUGAUGUUCCGGUGCUGGCUGUACAUGUUCAUUGGAAAAAAAUGAUGAUUAAUUUGUUGAGUAACCCAUAUACAUAUACUUGACAUUUAACCAACAGGCAAUGUUCUGAUAUACCCGAGCCCAACGCAUGCAAGUCCCCCCGGGGCGUGCACGUGUGGUGUUCCCCGCCCGCAGAUGCCGGCUUGUCUGGUGAGUCGC